GCCAGACUCCUACGGGAGGCAGCAGUGAGGAAUAUUGGUCAAUGGUCGGGAGACUGAACCAGCCAAGCCGCGUGAGGGAUGAAGGUACAGAGUAUCGUAAACCUCUUUUGUCAGGGAACAAAGGCGGGGACGUGUCCCCGGAUGAGUGUACCUGAAGAAAAAGCAUCGGCUAACUCCGUGCCAGCAGCCGCGGUAAUACGGAGGAUGCGAGCGUUAUCCGGAUUUAUUGGGUUUAAAGGGUGCGCAGGCGGUCUGUUAAGUCCGCGGUCAAAGCCCGGGGCUCAACCCCGUCGUGCCGUUGAAACUGGCGUUCUUGAGUGAGCGAGAAGUAUGCGGAAUGCGUGGUGUAGCGGUGAAAUGCAUAGAUAUCACGCAGAACUCCGAUUGCGAAGGCAGCAUACCGGCGCUCAACUGACGCUCAUGCACAAAAGCGUGGGUAUCGAACAGGAUUAGAUACCCCCGUAAAA
Molecule: ribosomal RNA, 467 nt
Filed under: uncultured bacterium
Lineage: Bacteria
Description: bacterial SSU rRNA
Rfam family: Bacterial small subunit ribosomal RNA
Source: RNAcentral